UGCGUUAACGAACGAGACCUCGACCUACUAAAUAGUUGAGUAAACUCUUCGGGGUUUACGCUGACUUCUUAGAGGGACUUUUGGUGAGUAGCCAAAGGAAGUUCGAGGCAAUAACAGGUCUGUGAUGCCCUUAGAUGUUCUGGGCCGCACGCGCGCUACACUGAUCAAGUCAACGAGUUUACAACCUUGGCCGGAAGGUCUGGGUAAUCUUUUGAAACUUGAUCGUGCUGGGGAUAGUCCAUUGCAAUUAUUGGACUUCAACGAGGAUUUCCUAGUAAGCGUGAGUCAUCAGCUCGCGUUGAUUACGUCCCUGCCCUUUGUACACACCGCCCGUCGCUAAUACCGAUUGAAUGGAUC
RNAcentral lists this ribosomal RNA (357 nucleotides) under Eukaryota sp. Its description in RNAcentral is "SSU rRNA". It matches the Rfam family "Eukaryotic small subunit ribosomal RNA", at positions 1324 to 1699 of the family's 1831-position model. The record is from RNAcentral.